This is a long non-coding RNA of Ostrinia nubilalis (European corn borer), 711 nucleotides long. RefSeq lists it as uncharacterized. NCBI's taxonomy places the organism in Eukaryota, Metazoa, Arthropoda, Insecta, Lepidoptera, Crambidae. The transcript is spliced from 2 exons. The record is from RefSeq and is a predicted model, not a curated record.
ACUAUAGGUGUACCAGAAUCUCAUGGCAAACAAAAAUAUUGGAAAAGUGUGUUUUUCAUAUGGCCAUUGUCUAUGGCUUUAUUGUCACCUGUCAAAGUAAAUCAAGAGAUCUGUCAGUCGCUGCAGAAAUUUUGUAAUCUCUUCAUGCCUAUUUGUUAUUUUUGUGAAAAAGACGAAAAAACUCAAGCAAGUCAUAUUGUUUUCAAAGUGUAUUGUAAAAUAAGGCAUAAUUCAAAGUCAAUCUUUGAUUUUAAAGCGCGUCGUUGAGUUGACAGUGUAUUUCAUGCAUUGGUGCAGAGGAAUGGUGAAAAUGUUAUGACCAUGUAAAGAAAAUUGAAAAAGAUUUCAUCAAGCAAGUUUGAGUAAUUGAAAUGCUGAAAAAGCGAUUUAUAUUAUAUUAAUACCUCUUUAACUUGAUCAUCUAUUUGAAGAACAACAAGAAAUGCAAGUGGAGUUCUUAGAAUCGUUUUCUAGUUUUGAAUGAAGUGAUAAGUUAUAAGUAUGAUACUUAAUAAAAUUAUUUACAGUAAUAUACGGUUUACUUAUUUUUCAAGACAUCAUGUUCCUAUGUUAAAACGGGUUUUUAACAUAGGAACAUGAUGUCUUGAAAAAUUGUAUAACAACAUUCUUCAUACACAUACCUAAAAUGUAUAGGUAGGCAUUCGUACUUCAUGUUCAUUAAUAUUAGUCAUAAAUAAAAAUUAAACAGUA